RNAcentral lists this ribosomal RNA (296 nucleotides) under uncultured bacterium. Its description in RNAcentral is "partial 16S ribosomal RNA". It matches the Rfam family "Bacterial small subunit ribosomal RNA", at positions 650 to 944 of the family's 1533-position model. The record is from RNAcentral.
AGUAGGGGACCACGGAACUCCUGGUGUAGCGGUGGAAUGCGCAGAUAUCAGGAAGAACACCAGUAGCGAAGGCGGUGGUCUGGGCCAAUACUGACGCUGAGGAGCGAAAGCGUGGGGAGCAAACAGGAUUAGAUACCCUGGUAGUCCACGCCGUAAACGGUGGGCACUAGGUGUGGGGACUAUUCAACGGUUUCCGCGCCGACGCUAACGCAUUAAGUGCCCCGCCUGGGGAGUACGGCCGCAAGGCUAAACUCAAAGGAAUGGACGGGGGCCCGCACAAGCGGCGGAGCAUGUGG